Non-coding RNA from Trichobilharzia regenti, 46 nucleotides. Lineage: Eukaryota; Metazoa; Platyhelminthes; Trematoda; Strigeidida; Schistosomatidae. The record is from Rfam.
GUACUGUUGAAGAGUCCCAAACUAGGAUGAAACAGCUGUCCAGUAC